This 1932-nucleotide long non-coding RNA is filed under the name Nicotiana tabacum (common tobacco). RNAcentral's name for it is "long non-coding RNA (NTAB_LNC001104)". The record is from RNAcentral. Lineage: Eukaryota; Viridiplantae; Streptophyta; Magnoliopsida; Solanales; Solanaceae.
UCUCAACCCCUUCAUUUUAACUCCACAGUCGCCUCCCAUCGUUUGAGACUCUCUCAUCUCUCACUUUGAGAGAGACACGGCAGCCACCCCAUUUCCCCCAUUUUCGUCGCCGCCGGCCAGCCACCAGCAGCCUUGGCUAGCGCCUCCCCCUCUUCUCUUUUAUCUCUCUUCGCCGGAACACCACCAAAGCUAUGAUCUGAAAAUAGGACACCUAUCGAAAUUUCACUUCUGGCCGGAGAAGCUUCAUGUCUUAUCUGAAAUGCUAAGGCCGGCAUUCUUUCCAUGAGGCAAACCGAUAUCUGAGAAUUUUAUGGCCAGAAAUCUGACUUUCCGGCGACCUCUGGUGCUGCUCUUUUACUGUUCACUGCAACCCGUUCUCUUGGUUUUGGACGGAAAUACAGAUUCCGGCGACGUUCCUUGAAGUUGAGCGUUAUUCCGGCGUCCGCCGUCGAAGUAACGCCACUGCUGUUCAUUUGGCCGGAAUAUUUUCUGGCGACCUCCCUUAACGCCAACGACUGUCCUUUUGCUUGUGUAUUUCUUCGCUUAUCAUUUUUUCUUUGCUACAGGUUAACAGAUCUAAACCAAUAAAGGUUAUUUGCCUAGAGAUUGGCCAAAACUUUGGCGUUGUUUCCCUGCCGGUAAUUUCUUCCGACGUCUCUGUUGCCUCGCUUGGGUACUGUUCUCCGGCGUUUGUCGUCGAUUGUGGAACUUUGCCGAUGAAUGUUCAUAGAUAAUUUUUGGGGUCUUUGUUUAUUCUGGCCAACUUCUAUCUCCACGUAUUAUGCUAUAUCAUUAUUAUCACAUUUGGUUCUACAAGUUUGGGUUAAUUUACGCUUGACUGGAACUAUUGAAUUGUUUCUUGCUAAUUAGUUUGUGCAGAUUUCACGUCUGAAUUGUUGUUGAUUUCCCGCACUGUUGGACCUAAGGCUUGGGCUGAUGAGAAAAUAACCUUCGAGUUAUUCAACGCCCCGAAUGACCGUCCGGGUUGGGCCCUAUAAUAAUGAGGCGAUGAUAAACAUCGAAAAAGAAAAAGACGAGAAUUCGAAUCAAUAACCUAUGGAGGGCGACACGGUUGGCAGACGGUGUCUCAACCGAGGCGGUGAGCCUACUAUAUUAUUUUAAACUAUUUUUCAAAAAUAAUUUCCCAAAAACAUUUUCGAACUAUUUUCACAAACAAUCUUUCAAAAAAAAAACAUUUUCGAAUCUUUUUCGGAAAAAUUUCAAAAAAUCAUUUUAAAAACAUGUCAUUUGAUUCAUUUUUACUUUAUGUUAUUUUAUUAAUAAUUUUACUUUCUUAUCUUGCGAGGUACUACUAUACGGAGUUGUUUUUGGAAGACGACACUCGAAGAUAGAAAGACAAAUUUUCGUCAAACUCCCCGCUUCGAAUUUCCUAUUCUAGGAUGUAUCCAAAAUCACAAGUAUAGUGAAAUCGCAGAUAAAUGUCGUAUUAUUUGUUUACUUUGAUCUUUAUCUGUUUGUUAAACACUUAAACACUUAGGGUGUGUUACAUCUAGCUAAUAAUCCGCCAACCUACAACAUUGUGUGUUAAAUAAUUCUUGCAAGGUUGUCUAUACAAAAUCUAGAAUGUCAAAUAUAUAUUUUAUAAUUUAGUCGAUUAAUUAGGAUUAGUGUACACAUACUUAAUUGAAUUGGUUGCAUACAUAAAUGAAAGGCAUGUCGUCUCCUUUUCAAAAAUAGGAGUUUUACCUUUGUUUACAACUACAUAAGCAUUUUUUUAACGAAUCUCUUUGUAAAUUAUUUUUGACUAUUUUACAUCAAGUAAACAUAACUUGUAAAAAUCAUAAUUGAGUCUACCAUAUUUAGGAUUAAUUCAAUUGCUAAAUCCAUUUGGGCCUAAUCUGAUAAUUGCCAACAUUCUCCAUGAGUUAUUGUUUUAAAGGCUAUUCUUGUACAAAGUUUAUAAUAUUCUUA